UAGCAAGAAAAUUUUUUUGAAUUAGAUUUCUAGAAACCUGAGGAGCUACCUUAAUUUUGGUUUAGCCUUAAACAAAGGUGGGUGUGGCAUAACCCUAUUUAAAAUUUAAGGUAGAAAUUAGAUGUUAUUCGUUUUAGGUGAUAGCUAGUUAUAAUAUAAAGAUAUACAAGUAUCGGAUAUAAUUUCAUUAUGUGUUUGUACUAUACAUAUAAUGACUUAUUUUCUUAGUUACAUGAGGGUAAGCUCGUGUAAAUUUAUUUUAACUAAAAUUAUAUAUAAUUCUAAGCUCGAAAUUAGCUAUGAUGAAUCGGAAUUUGUUAAAAAUACAUAUAUACUAAAACUUUACAAUAUAUUAAAUUUAUAUUAUUCAAUUAUAUAAUUAAAGCAUUAUUGAUUUAUGCUAAAAUGAGUAUUAUUAUAAGUUAAAACUAAAAAUAAAUUAAAUUUUUUUUAAAAAUUUUUCAUAAAUAUUAUGAAAUAUAUCAUAGGAAUUCGGCAAAAUUUAGCUCCGCCUGUUUAGCAAAAACAUGUCUCUUUG
Molecule: ribosomal RNA, 538 nt
Filed under: Cyclophorus moellendorffi
Lineage: Eukaryota; Metazoa; Mollusca; Gastropoda; Architaenioglossa; Cyclophoridae
Description: partial 16S ribosomal RNA
Source: RNAcentral